CUGUGACAAGGAGUGGAUUUUAAUUCAGCGAAGGGGAACACCAACUUCGCCAGGGAACGAGAGAACAAGUUUCGAAAGGGUUUGGACAGAAUAUGAAAAUGGGUUUGGCAGCCUUGAUGGGGAUUUCUUUCUAGGCUUGAGGACCAUCCAUGAGCUGACAGUGGAGGGAUAUACGCAGUUACGGGUCGAUCUGGAAGACUGGGAAGGGGUAAAGAGCUACGCGACGUACGGGGUCUUCAAAGUCGCGGAUGCCGGAGAUAAAUACCGUUUAACCGUCGAGAAUUUUAACGGAACUGAAGACGAUGAAUUAAUUUUGAAUGAUGGACAGCAGUUCAGUACAAUUGACAACGACAACGAUGAUAGCACUCAAAAUUGUGCCGACUUGGGCCGCGGUGGCUGGUGGUAUUUUACAUGCUUCCAUGGCAACUUGAACUCUGUAUAUUCUAAUCCAAAUACCACGGAAAGGUCUU
Molecule: long non-coding RNA, 470 nt
Organism: Folsomia candida
Lineage: Eukaryota; Metazoa; Arthropoda; Collembola; Entomobryomorpha; Isotomidae
Exons: 4
Source: RefSeq, a predicted model, not a curated record